This 992-nucleotide ribosomal RNA is filed under the name uncultured bacterium. RNAcentral's name for it is "bacterial SSU rRNA". It matches the Rfam family "Bacterial small subunit ribosomal RNA", at positions 355 to 1375 of the family's 1533-position model. The record is from RNAcentral.
UGGGGAAUAUUGCACAAUGGGGGAAACCCUGAUGCAGCGACGCCGCGUGGAGGAAGAAGGUCUUCGGAUUGUAAACUCCUGUUGUUGAGGAAGAUAAUGACGGUACUCAACAAGGAAGUGACGGCUAACUACGUGCCAGCAGCCGCGGUAAAACGUAGGUCACAAGCGUUGUCCGGAAUUACUGGGUGUAAAGGGAGCGCAGGCGGGCGAUCAAGUUGGAAGUGAAAUCCAUGGGCUCAACCCAUGAACUGCUUUCAAAACUGGUCGUCUUGAGUAGUGCAGAGGUAGGCGGAAUUCCCGGUGUAGCGGUGGAAUGCGUAGAUAUCGGGAGGAACACCAGUGGCGAAGGCGGCCUACUGGGCACCAACUGACGCUGAGGCUCGAAAGUGUGGGUAGCAAACAGGAUUAGAUACCCUGGUAGUCCACACCGUAAACGAUGAUUACUAGGUGUUGGAGGAUUGACCCCUUCAGUGCCGCAGUUAACACAAUAAGUAAUCCACCUGGGGAGUACGACCGCAAGGUUGAAACUCAAAGGAAUUGACGGGGGCCCGCACAAGCAGUGGAGUAUGUGGUUUAAUUCGACGCAACGCGAAGAACCUUACCAAGUCUUGACAUCCCUUGACGAUACUGGAAACAGUAUUUCUCUUCGGAGCAAGGAGACAGGUGGUGCAUGGUUGUCGUCAGCUCGUGUCGUGAGAUGUUGGGUUAAGUCCCGCAACGAGCGCAACCCUUAUGGUCAGUUACUACGCAAGAGGACUCUGGCCAGACUGCCGUUGACAAAACGGAGGAAGGUGGGGAUGACGUCAAAUCAUCAUGCCCUUUAUGACCCGGGCUACACACGUACUACAAUGGCGUAACAGAGGGAAGCAACAUCGCGAGGUGAAGCAAAUCUCUAAAAAACGUCCCAGUUCAGAUUGCAGGCUGCAACUCGCCUGCAUGAAGACGGAAUUGCUAGUAAUCGCAGAUCAGCAUGCUGCGGUGAAUACGUUCCC